UUUUUUUGAGGUGGGUGGGCACGGAGACGAGACGAGACAGAAGCAGGGCACGAUGCCGAGGUUGGAAGAGGCGAGGGUGCCGUGUUGUGUUACGAGGCCACGAGGCGGAGGCCGAAGCGACGAGGCUGAGGCAGGCCGCUGAGGAUCCGCGGGGGCGAGGCCACGAGGUGGAGGCGGAAGCGGACGGAGUUGCGGAAUGUUCUAGACGCUCUCCUCUGCGGCGGUUACCGCUGGAUCCCAAAGCCGGGGAGGUGGACGCGGCGGGGCGGCGGCGGCAACCCCUGUUUAGGCAGACGAGGUGGGGAGUGGCUAGAUGCCGAGGGCAGCAGGCGGAGGCCGACGAGAGUUAGCUCGGUCAGCGGCGGGGCCUCGAGGCGCACACGGCGGAGGCUGUAGGGGGCAGGUGCUUGGGCCCGCCGGCGUUUAGAGGGCAUGGAGGCAGGUGAUAGGGGGGGUUCGUCGGCGUGGGGAGGGGUCCGAGAGUUGGUCCAGCCUCGCCGCCGCCAACGUUCUCCUCUCCUCCUCGCGCGCGCUCUCGACAUGGGUACACCACCGUCGUAAUGGAGGAGUUGGUGCACCCGCUACUGUUCUGCGUGAAGCAACGGCACCGAUGCCCACCAAAGUCCGUGUCGUACACGUAUGGCGUCCUCCAACCCUUGGUAAACCCCUCGUACUAGAGACUUUGGUAGUUUGAUCUUCGAGGAUUACCGUAUAAAGUAUAACCUCACACAUCUUUCUGCCCACUCGAUCAAGAAGUCAGACCGACCCUAUUUAAACAGCGUUACGUAGUGUAUCUUCUUUUAAUAAGAAAAACCAAGCACAUGGCACCCUUGAGAUGGAAAUUCCAAGCAUAUAAGUUAAGGUUACUAGUACUCUACUGAUGAAGGACAAGAGUUGGUGGAGUCUCGAAACCCCCACAAGGUAGACGGCGUUGAACGCUAGUAGUACACGACUUACCUAUACUUCGAGUGUACGACUUACUCGCACGUAGACACCUCAAACCCCAGCUAAACCUUGGAGUAUCGAGGCCGUUAGAGCUCCCCGGAAGGGUCGUAAGGAUGUAAAAUCGACGUCCCUAUUGAGAUCCACGACACCUCUGCUUCUUUCAACUCCUCUUUCAGGUUCGUUAAGUUAGACGUGAAGGAUAGAAGCACUGUCAUUACUGGUUUUGGACCCAAUUACCGGCAUUAAACGCGAAGACGGCACUUAUGCCAAGUUCUAUAUAAGGUGGAUACUCCUUUCCUUUCGGAGAGUACGAGGUCCGUCUCCCUUCUUGCUGCCUCACCGGUCGGUCUAACCCUUAUCUACGCUGAUCUCACUUGACCUAAGCAGCACCGACCUUCCUUAAGCAGCGGCCGUUACUGCACGCCCUCCCCCUAUAGACGGAGAAACUUGCCCGUUUCUCGUGCUGUGCCGAAUCCUACUGCCAGGUAAAGGAGGCGUUCAGUCUGUACCUCCACAUCGAGUUCGGGAUCAUACCAAGAUUGGCACCAUGGGACGGUACCGUGACGGAACUGUACUGUCACUCACUUGAACAUAGAUUAAACCCUAUCCAACCUGAAAUCAGACGGAGAUCAAUCAUCACAUGACAGACUACGAGUAUACGUAUAACAAACACUAAUCCUCCUACAGAAGUCCACUAUUGGAAAAGGGGGUACUCUGCGUUUGUAGUAAUACGAUGCACGUACGAGACAAGUUGACCCUAAUAUCGCGAACAAGUACUUAUACUUUUUGACAAACCAACCUGACGGU
Molecule: ribosomal RNA, 1752 nt
Filed under: Triticum aestivum (bread wheat)
Lineage: Eukaryota; Viridiplantae; Streptophyta; Magnoliopsida; Poales; Poaceae
Description: partial small subunit ribosomal RNA
Source: RNAcentral